Molecule: microRNA precursor, 80 nt
Filed under: Haemonchus contortus (barber pole worm)
Lineage: Eukaryota; Metazoa; Nematoda; Chromadorea; Rhabditida; Trichostrongylidae
Description: microRNA hco-mir-63b precursor
Gene: hco-mir-63b
Source: miRBase by way of RNAcentral
CUCGUCCUCACUCCGAUUCGCCGGUAGUCAUCGUCAUCGGUGAGCACUAUGACACUGUCGCGAAUUGGGGUGAUUAGAGC